Molecule: ribosomal RNA, 1343 nt
Filed under: uncultured bacterium
Lineage: Bacteria
Description: 16S ribosomal RNA
Rfam family: Bacterial small subunit ribosomal RNA
Source: RNAcentral
GACGAACGCUGUCGGCGUGCCUAACACAUGCAAGUCGAACGGAAAGGCCCUGCUUUUGUGGGGUGCUCGAGUGGCGAACGGGUGAGUAACACGUGAGUAACCUGCCCUUGACUUUGGGAUAACUUCAGGAAACUGGGGCUAAUACCGGAUAGGAGCUCCUGCUGCAUGGUGGGGGUUGGAAAGUUUCGGCGGUUGGGGAUGGACUCGCGGCUUAUCAGCUUGUUGGUGGGGUAGUGGCUUACCAAGGCUUUGACGGGUAGCCGGCCUGAGAGGGUGACCGGCCACAUUGGGACUGAGAUACGGCCCAGACUCCUACGGGAGGCAGCAGUGGGGAAUAUUGCACAAUGGGCGGAAGCCUGAUGCAGCGACGCCGCGUGCGGGAUGACGGCCUUCGGGUUGUAAACCGCUUUCGCCUGUGACGAAGCGUGAGUGACGGUAAUGGGUAAAGAAGCACCGGCUAACUACGUGCCAGCAGCCGCGGUGAUACGUAGGGUGCGAGCGUUGUCCGGAUUUAUUGGGCGUAAAGGGCUCGUAGGUGGUUGAUCGCGUCGGAAGUGUAAUCUUGGGGCUUAACCCUGAGCGUGCUUUCGAUACGGGUUGACUUGAGGAAGGUAGGGGAGAAUGGAAUUCCUGGUGGAGCGGUGGAAUGCGCAGAUAUCAGGAGGAACACCAGUGGCGAAGGCGGUUCUCUGGGCCUUUCCUGACGCUGAGGAGCGAAAGCGUGGGGAGCGAACAGGCUUAGAUACCCUGGUAGUCCACGCUGUAAACGGUGGGUACUAGGUGUGGGGUCCAUUCCACGGGUUCCGUGCCGUAGCUAACGCUUUAAGUACCCCGCCUGGGGAGUACGGCCGCAAGGCUAAAACUCAAAGGAAUUGACGGGGCCCCGCACAAGCGGCGGAGCAUGCGGAUUAAUUCGAUGCAACGCGUAGAACCUUACCUGGGUUUGACAUGGAUCGGGAGUGCUCAGAGAUGGGUGUGCCUCUUUUGGGGUCGGUUCACAGGUGGUGCAUGGCUGUCGUCAGCUCGUGUCGUGAGAUGUUGGGUUAAGUCCCGCAACGAGCGCAACCCUUGUUCACUGUUGCCAGCACGUUAUGGUGGGGACUCAGUGGAGACCGCCGGGGUCAACUCGGAGGAAGGUGGGGAUGACGUCAAGUCAUCAUGCCCCUUAUGUCCAGGGCUUCACGCAUGCUACAAUGGCUGGUACAGAGAGUGGCGAGCCUGUGAGGGUGAGCGAAUCUCGGAAAGCCGGUCUCAGUUCGGAUUGGGGUCUGCAACUCGACCUCAUGAAGUCGGAGUCGCUAGUAAUCGCAGAUCAGCAACGCUGCGGUGAAUACGUUCCCGGG